CCUACGGGAGGCAGCAGUGAGGAAUAUUGGUCAAUGGGCUUACGCCUGAACCAGCCAAGUCGCGUGAGGGAAGACUGCCCUAUGGGUUGUAAACCUCUUUUGUCAGGGAGCAACGCCGGCUACGUGUAGCCGGACUGAGAGUCCCUGAAGAAAAAGCAUCGGCUAACGCCGUGCCAGCAGCCGCGGUAAUACGGAGGAUGCGAGCGUUAUCCGGAUUUAUGGGUUUAAAAGGGUGCGUAGGCGGAAUGCCAAGUCAGCGGUAAAAUCGCGGGGCUCAACCUCGCCCGGCCGUUGAAACUGGCGUUCUUGAGUGAGCGAGAAGUAUGCGGAAUGCGUGGUGUAGCGGUGAAAUGCAUAGAGAUCACGCAGAACUCCGAUUGCGAAGGCAGCAUACCGGCGCCCAACUGACGCUGAAGCACGAAAGCGUGGGUAUCGAACAGGAUUAGAUACCCGGGUAGUC
This 460-nucleotide ribosomal RNA is filed under the name uncultured bacterium. Its description in RNAcentral is "partial 16S ribosomal RNA". It matches the Rfam family "Bacterial small subunit ribosomal RNA", at positions 338 to 795 of the family's 1533-position model. The record is from RNAcentral.